RNAcentral lists this ribosomal RNA (254 nucleotides) under uncultured bacterium. RNAcentral describes it as "partial 16S ribosomal RNA". It matches the Rfam family "Bacterial small subunit ribosomal RNA", at positions 524 to 776 of the family's 1533-position model. The record is from RNAcentral.
UACGUAGGGGCCUAGCGUUGUCCGGAUUUAUUGGGCGUAAAGAGCUCGUAGGUGGUUCGGCAAGUCAGUUGUGAAAUCUCCGCGCUCAACGCGGAGGGGUCAGCUGAAACUGCUGUGACUUGAGUCUGGUAGGGGAGUGUGGAAUUCCCGGUGUAGCGGUGAAAUGCGCAGAUAUCGGGAGGAACACCAGUGGCGAAGGCGGCACUCUGGGCCAGUACUGACACUGAGGAGUGAAAGCGUGGGGAGCGAGCAGG